Molecule: long non-coding RNA, 1439 nt
Filed under: Lynx pardinus (Iberian lynx)
Lineage: Eukaryota; Metazoa; Chordata; Mammalia; Carnivora; Felidae
Source: RNAcentral
ACCUGCUCCAACUCCCAAAUCCCCAGACACACAGGGACAGAAGCACCUUGAGGAACAGCAGGAUUGGGCCCCCGAGAGAUCCAGGAAAUGGGGUCCGAACAUUCAGUAGCAGAAGAGUUUUCCGUUCGGAGUAUGCUUGUCUCCUCACCCACCCCCUCCCGCGUGGUUCUGAGACAAGGAGGCUCCGCUCUUGGCCACCACGGUGACCUCCAGCAAGCAGGAAUCUGGAGAAGUUUCUGGUCAGGGCAGAGGUCGGGGAAACGGGCUUUCCUGUCACAUUCCAGAGGGGCCUGACGUUCUCUGUAGGGUCACAACAGACACUGAGCCAUGACACAGAAAUCCUCCAGGAUUGGACCUGUAAUUCUUUGUGUUGGGUCUACUCACGUCCUCAUCGACGUCACUUGCCAGACCACAACUUUUGGGCUGUGACUGAUCCGGGACCGCAGUGCUGGUGAGCAGGGGCGGGGACCCGUGACCCGGGAGAGUGUGGACAGCAGGCUGUGGAGGUCGGCGGGUCACCUGUGCUGGCCGAGGGGCUCUCGUGGGCACAGGGGGUCCCAGGAACAGUCCGUGUUCCAUCAGGAGCCUAGACCUGCAGGACCGCGUGCCGGCCCAGGAGACGGACAAAGGUUCGGGAGGAGGCCGCGGGGAGUCGGUGGCAGGCUGUCAGCCCUCCUGGUAUGGACCCUCCUGGUCACAGCGCGGCUGUUAGAUGGUCCUGCCUUCCUCCCUCCGCGCCCCCCCCCCCCGACUUGAAGAUAAAGGAUCUUCAUAAAAACACGAGUUUACUGUUCAGAUUCGAUCCUACUCACUUUGAGGCAUCUCCCCGCCCCCACAGCCAUGGCCAAGGGCCCAGGGAACCGGCCUGGCGCUUCCCCGGGAAGCUCGUCUGCCUUCGUCCAGGAGACCGGAAGCUCACCUCUGAUGGGGCACCGGCAGCUCAUAGUCCCAGGGGAGACGAGUGCUAGCAAGGACGCCCCCCUCGCCAUCCCCAGGAAGGUCCAAGGGGCUCUCCACUCAGUGGCCGAAUGCACUGUGGCCCUUGCCUUCAGGACGAGUGAAGGUUUGCUCCGGGAAAACCCAGCCAUCCUGUCCCCACAUAUCUCCACCUGCCCCCACCUGCCCUCACCUGUCUCCACCUGCUCUUAGGUGGUUUCCCUGCCCUCACCUCUUCCCACCUGCUCUCACCUGCUCCCCCUCUCCUCCCAGAGGUAGAUGUAGCCAUUGGUCAGUGAGUGUCCCCAAGGCCCUCGUAUGCUUGUGUGCCGUGUAGAAUUUGAACAGGACUAGGGUACACGGGGAUGGUGUGCGGCAGCUUUUUUCUUGCAAAGCGUGUCGACGGCUCCUUCUACGAGCUCACACAUACCUACAUCAUCCUUUCAAUGGCUGUGAGGAAUUUCCUAUGGUGAAAGAGCCCUGAUCUGUUAAACUUCCCCCCU